AAAUGCUCCGCAGGGCCAGGCUCCCGGCUUGCACAGCUGGCUGGUCUUCCGCCUGGACAGACGUCAUGAAUGUGGCUCAGACCCAGAGCGCGGCCCCACUCGUUUCGGGGAGGACAGGAGUUGGGUUUAAUUUGGGCAACAUGCAGUGCCGUGUGUGAGCGGAACACGCAUUCCCGUGGGGUUAGAAACGUCCAGCUCCUUAUGGGGGUCAUGGUCAGAAUGGCCUGGACCUUCACUACGGCCAGCCCCUGACCACUGUGAUUCUGCGGGGCUGGGGCUGGGGCUGGGCCUGGGCCUGUGCUGCAGGUGAGUCCUGCCCAGGUGGGGAGUGCUCGGAGGUCAACAGCACUAUUGCCGUGUUAAUCCACCCCCCGAGCCAAUGCUUCCCACACUUCGCUUCAAUCACGCGACAGUCCUGAGCGGAUGGAGUGCACUGGUGUGAUCUCAGCUCAACCUCCGCAUCCCAGGCUCAGCGACAGGGUUUCGCCACGCUGCCCAGACUGGUCUCAAUUCCUGGGCUUAAGUGAUCUGUCUGCCUUGGCCUCCCAUCGUGCUGAGAUGACAGGCGUGAGCCACUGCACCCGGCCCAGGCUGUUUUCAAUUCCCCGUGUUCUGCUACCUUCCAGGUGGGGCGGGCUGGGAGGCCUCUUCUAGAGGGGCCCUCAGGCUGCUCCAAGCCCUGGAAUGCAGCCCUGGUGGCCUCAGAACACCCCAGCAGGCUGGACCCGUGCCUCUGCCCCAGGGUGUAGGGUCCGGGUGGCCUGGGGUCGUCCCCUUGGGAGCUGCAUGGGUGGCCGCUGCUACUCCUACCUGGGAGGACAUCCCGUGGCAGGGGUAGAGGAUCGCCCGGUCGCCGUCCUCCGCUCCCUGGUCCAGACAGUAGGCACUGGCUUUGCUGUUUCUCACCUGCAAGCAGAAGCCCCAGGAGAAAGUCCAGAGUCACCCGAGGGUGCGGCCCCAGGGAGCUUCACGCAGCCAGCUCUGCAGCCAGCACCUAAGGAGGAACCCUGACAGCCCUCUGAGAACAAGCCCGGGCCAGACUGCUGGGGGAUGUGUUGUCAUCGGGCAGCCAACCUCCAGCCUCCAGAACAGGCCCAUCGGAGAUCAGCACAGCCUGGAUCAGGCCAGCAGCACUGCCUGGGUGGCCCCGGCUCGUGAGCAAGUGUAGAUGCUUAUUGCUUUUGUCCACCGCGUCUCCAGGCUGCUGGGUUUGCAGCAGCAGCUGACCCAUCCACCACGGCCACCACGAGAGGUCACACAGGUACCACUUGAAGCUGCGACACUUCAGCCUCUGACGCAGGGCCAGCCUCUCAGACACGUCCCCGAAGUCCACCCCUGGGUUCUGCAAGGCCAGAAGUAGAGGGUCUGAGGCAGCUGCUCCUGAUGGGAAGGACCCUGCCAGAGGCCAGCCCCGGCCUGGACAGACGGCCCCUGCUGCAGCCGGCUCGUCCACACCCACCCGGGCCCAGGAACCUCCUGCCUGAGAAGACGGCCCUGCUCACCUGGCCUUACUGCACGGCAUCAGCCUGACCUCUGGAGGGUGGAGACUGAGGUCAGCCAUAUCCAGAGACCAGCCUGGCCUGAGUAGGACAGAAAGGCCGAGGCAGGGAGUGUUCACACACUCUGCUCGAUUCGGGCUGGGACGUGGGUCCUCCCCUGCCUUCAGGCUUGGAGCUCACGCCACCGGCUCUCCUGGGCGCCUGCCAGCCGACGGCCAAUCUCGGUACCCUCAGCCCCCGUAACCGGGACAGAUCCAGAGUCCGGGGCAGGAGGGAGCCGCUCCCUCCUCGCCGAGAUGACCACACAGCACGCAGCUAACGCCAGGCUCCCUGACCCCGG
This 1839-nucleotide long non-coding RNA is filed under the name Homo sapiens (human). Its description in RNAcentral is "HSALNT0197755". The record is from RNAcentral. Lineage: Eukaryota; Metazoa; Chordata; Mammalia; Primates; Hominidae.